CAUCAGCGCGAUGUCAGGGGACGU
This 24-nucleotide microRNA is filed under the name Gossypium raimondii (Peruvian cotton). RNAcentral's name for it is "gra-miR7486j". Lineage: Eukaryota; Viridiplantae; Streptophyta; Magnoliopsida; Malvales; Malvaceae. The record is from miRBase by way of RNAcentral.